GCAGUAGCUCAGUGGUAGAGUCCUCGCUUCGUAUGCGGGAAAACCUGGGUUCGAUUCCCGGCUGC
RNAcentral lists this transfer RNA (65 nucleotides) under Toxocara canis (dog roundworm). It matches the Rfam family "tRNA". From Rfam's summary of the family: Transfer RNA (tRNA) molecules are approximately 80 nucleotides in length. Their secondary structure includes four short double-helical elements and three loops (D, anti-codon, and T loops). Lineage: Eukaryota; Metazoa; Nematoda; Chromadorea; Rhabditida; Toxocaridae. The record is from Rfam by way of RNAcentral.